CAAAUUGUAUCAAAAAAACUGCGAAAAUAUUUUAUAUAUUGUACAAGUAUAACCAAUUUAUUGCACACAAUGUUUAACAAAAUCUCAUAUGGAC
Molecule: long non-coding RNA, 94 nt
Organism: Octopus sinensis (East Asian common octopus)
Lineage: Eukaryota; Metazoa; Mollusca; Cephalopoda; Octopoda; Octopodidae
Exons: 3
Source: RefSeq, a predicted model, not a curated record